GAACGAGAAAGGGGAGCAAUCCCUGAGUAAAGUGGCGACCGGNGUGAGUAACACGUGACUAACCUGCCCUUGGGGGGGGGAUAACCUCGGGAAACCGGGGCUAAUACCGCAUAACAUCUUCGGGAUGAAAAGCUGAAGAUCAAAGGAGCAAUUCGCUUAAGGAGGGGGUCGCGGCUGAUUAGCUGGUUGGUGGGGUAACGGCCCACCAAGGCGAAGAUCGGUAGCCGGCCUGAGAGGGCGCACGGCCACACUGGAACUGAAACACGGUCCAGACUCCUACGGGAGGCAGCAGUGGGGAAUUUUGCGCAAUGGGGGAAACCCUGACGCAGCAACGCCGCGUGGAGGAUGAAGUCCCUUGGGACGUAAACUCCUUUCGACCGGGACGAUGAUGACGGUACCGGUGGAAGAAGCCCCGGCUAACUUCGUG
Molecule: ribosomal RNA, 427 nt
Filed under: uncultured bacterium
Lineage: Bacteria
Description: bacterial SSU rRNA
Rfam family: Bacterial small subunit ribosomal RNA
Source: RNAcentral